RNAcentral lists this ribosomal RNA (2073 nucleotides) under marine sediment metagenome. RNAcentral describes it as "bacterial LSU rRNA". It matches the Rfam family "Bacterial large subunit ribosomal RNA", at positions 3 to 1989 of the family's 2925-position model. The record is from RNAcentral.
UUAAGUUAUUAAGGGCACACGGUGGAUGCCUAGGCACAAGAAGGCGAUGAAGGACGUGACUACCGACGAUACGCUACGGUGAGGUGGAAGUAACCUAGUACCCGUAGAUCUCCGAAUGGGACAACCCGAUUUUGGUAAUUCAAAAUCAUCCAUAUCUGAAUACAUAGGAUAUGCGAAGCUAACCCAGGGAACUGAAACAUCUAAGUACCUGGAGGAAGAGAAAAUAAUAAUGAUUUCCUGAGUAGUGGCGAGCGAAAAGGAAACAGCUUAAACCGUUCAACAUGUUAAAGGUCGUAACUGUUGUGUUGACGGUGUUGUGGGAUAUUUUUUGACAGAAUUACGAAUACGUCGAGGAGUAAGAAAUUAUAAUUUUAGUUGAAUAAUCUGGAAAGUUUAAUCAUAGAAGGUGAAAAUCCUGUAGACAAAAAGAUUAUAACUCCUUUAAAAUACACCCGAGUACCACGAAGUAAGUGGAAUUUUGUGGGAAUCUGCCAGAACCAUCUGGUAAAGCUAAAUACUUUCUUGUGACCGAUAGUGAAUAAGUACCGUGAGGGAAAGGUGAAAAGUACUCCUAACAGGAGAGUGAAAUAGUACCUGAAACCGUGUGCUUACAAGCAGUUGGAGUCUCGAUUUAUCGGGAUGACAGCGUGCCUUUUGGAUAAUGAGCCAACGAGUUGCUCGUGCGUUGCAAGGUUAAUUUCCUAAGGAAUGAAGCCGAAGCGAAAGCGAGUCUGAAAUGGGCGAACUUAGUAACGUGCGGCAGACGCGAAACCGGGUGAUCUACCCUUGUCCAGGAUGAAGUGAGGGUAAAACCUCAUGGAGGUCCGAACCAGUAUCGGUUGAAAACGAUUUGGAUGAGGUGAGGGUAGGGGUGAAAGGCCAAUCAAACCCGGAGAUAGCUCGUAUUCCUCGAAAUAGCUUUUGGGCUAGCCUCGAGUAAAAGUGUAACGGAGGUAGAGCUACUGAUUGGGCUAGGGCCCUCACAAGGGUACCAAACUCAGACAAACUCCGAAUGCCGUUUACAUGUUUCUCGGGAGUCAGGCAGUGGGGGAUAAGCUUCAUUGCCAAGAGGGGAACAACCCAGACCAUCGAUUAAGGCCCCAAAAUAGUAGUUAACAGAGAAAGGAUGUUAGAUUGCUCAGACAACUAGGAUGUUGGCUUAGAAGCAGCCAUUCAUUUAAAGAGUGCGUAAUAGCUCACUAGUCAAGCGAUCUAGCGUCGACAAUUUGCGGGACUUAAACUACUUGCCGAAAUCAUGGGUUAUUCGAUUUUAUCGGAUAGCGGUAGAGGAACAUUCUAUAGGCGCUGAAGGCGUACUGCGAGGUAUGUUGGAGCGUAUAGAAGUGCAAAUGUUGGCAUAAGUAACGAUAAGAUAGAUGAAAAAUCUAUCCGCCGAAAGUCUAAGGUUUCCUGAGCAAUGUUAAUCAUCUCAGGGUUAGUCGGGUCCUAAGCCGAGGCUGAAAAGCGUAGGCGAUGGAAAACAGGUCAAAAUUCCUGUACCUGGUAUAAUUUGUUUGACUAUAAGGAGGGACGCAGAAGUGAAGAUCAGCCACCUGUCGGAUUAGGUGGUCUAAGUGUGUAGGUUUAGAGAGUAGGCAAAUCCGCUCUCUUAUAAGACUGAGACACGAACGGGAGAGCCUAGCUCACAAACUGAUCGUAAUCAUGCUGCCUAGAAAAGCUUCGUAUAGAAGAAUUAUAUCAGUCCGUACCGCAAACCGACACAGGUAGACGGGAUGAGUAUUCUCAGGCGCUCGAGUGAAUCGUGGUUAAGGAACUCGGCAAAUUAGCUCCGUAACUUCGGGAGAAGGAGCACCCUUAUUAGGUGAAACUCUUUGCGAGUUUAGCUGAACGGGGUCGCAGUGAAAAGGCCCAGGCGACUGUUUAACAAAAACACAUGUCUCUGCGAAGUCAAUUAAGACGAUGUAUAGGGACUGACACCUGCCCGGUGCUGGAAGGUUAAGAGGAGAGGUUAUUCCUUCGGGAAGAAGCUUUGAAUCGAAGCCCCAGUAAACGGCGGCCGUAACUAUAACGGUCCUAAGGUAGCGAAAUUCCUUGUCGGGUAAGUUCCGACCU